This 175-nucleotide non-coding RNA is filed under the name Eubacterium sp. RNAcentral's name for it is "6S RNA". It matches the Rfam family "6S / SsrS RNA". Rfam says of the family: E. coli 6S RNA was the first non coding RNA to be sequenced, but its function was unknown until recently. It consists of 184 nucleotides that fold into an extended hairpin structure with a large single-stranded internal bulge. The 6S RNA specifically associates with RNA polymerase holoenzyme containing the sigma70 specificity factor. Lineage: Bacteria; Bacillati; Bacillota; Clostridia; Eubacteriales; Eubacteriaceae. The record is from RNAcentral.
AAGUGCCUGAAGUGUUGAUGACCUGUCAAUUUGAACCUACAGUUUGAUGAAAGGGAUUCCUAUAUCUCUAAAGGGAUGUCAAGCCUCGAUUCAGUGGAAGGCAGUAACUUUAGAUGCGGUUGCCCACCUGGCGUAUGCUAGGACUCAAAACGCAGGACGACACCUCGGGUGUACA